UACCAGCACCCCGAGUGGUCGGGACGAUUAUUGGGCCUAAAGCGUCCGUAGCCGGUUUUACAAGUCCCCCGUUAAAUCCAACUGCUUAACAGAUGGGCCGCGGAGGAUACUAUAAGACUAGGAGGCAGGAGAGGCAAGCGGUACUCAGUGGGUAGGGGUAAAAUCCGUUGAUCCAUUGAAGACCACCAGUGGCGAAGGCGGCUUGCCAGAAUGCGCUCGACGGUGAGGGAUGAAAGCUGGGGGAGCAAACCGG
This 253-nucleotide ribosomal RNA is filed under the name uncultured bacterium. RNAcentral's name for it is "partial 16S ribosomal RNA". It matches the Rfam family "Archaeal small subunit ribosomal RNA", at positions 474 to 727 of the family's 1478-position model. The record is from RNAcentral.